This is a small nucleolar RNA of Mus pahari (shrew mouse), 104 nucleotides long. RefSeq annotates it as small nucleolar RNA SNORA5. Lineage: Eukaryota; Metazoa; Chordata; Mammalia; Rodentia; Muridae. The transcript has a single exon. The record is from RefSeq and is a predicted model, not a curated record.
UGUUAAAAAACAAACAAACAAACAAACAAACAAAAAACCCAACUGUGACUCCUGAGCCCUGUUCCCCAUGCUAAGUUCAGGUAUAAAUUGAGUGACAGACAUCA